CCGAAAGUUCCCAUUCUUCCUCCUCUUGCUUUCUCCCAUGGCUUCAGAUUUGCGUUAGGGUUCCCCGAUCGGAGGAUUUUGUGCCGUGUAGAGUCCUCCACCCGACACGAUCGUCUUUUGGAUUGUUCUUUGGAGAUUUGGCUUGAGGUAAAAGGACUCUGAGUUGAAUCAUUAUGAAGAUUGUUUUGAAUGCUAGAGUGUUCAACUUCGGUAAUUUUUGAGGUAAAGAAUCACUCUUUUCGGUGUAACUUGGACCAUCGUUCAAGACAAAAGCAGUAUACCUAAUCUUCAGAUAUGCAAGUUCUGAUGCAAUUGGUAACUUCGAGUUACCUAGACUCCGUUCCUGACUCCCAAUCAGGUACGGUGAUUUCCACUGUCUAAUGGUUAUAUGAUUUGAUUAUUUCCUGCUCGAUGCUUUCUACUAUCUUUCAUUAUUAAUUAUUCCAAAUAGUUGCUUAUUAGCCUGUUACGAUAUGAUGCAAUUUCUGUAGAAAACAUUCUCUGGUAGAUGAUUCUUUAAGUUCUUUCUACCUAUCAUCUUGUUAUCAAUUGAAACCGCAAACAAUCAAUUUAUAGUUAAAUCACUAUGAAUGGCGUAGAAACGAUACUUCUAAAACUGUUUGAGUAUACAUAAUUUUGUUCUUCUUUUUCAGUCAUUAUAAGAAAAAUCGUCGGUGCAAGAUUAGAUUUUCUUUUAUUUAGUUAGUGCAACCAGUAGUUUUUUUUAGGGGACCUUUUCAUACUAUGGUUAGGUUUUAGUUACAUUUCAUGCAUAGUUUAUUGAAAUUAUUGUAUGGGUUGUGUCCUACUUAUAAUUGAUUCAUGUGGUACUACUUUAACAAAAUGGAGGCACACAGCCAUGCUGC
Molecule: long non-coding RNA, 866 nt
Organism: Musa acuminata AAA Group (dessert banana)
Lineage: Eukaryota; Viridiplantae; Streptophyta; Magnoliopsida; Zingiberales; Musaceae
Exons: 3
Source: RefSeq, a predicted model, not a curated record